GAUGAACGCUGGCGGCGUGCCUAAUACAUGCAAGUCGAGCGAACAGACGAGGAGCUUGCUCCUCUGACGUUAGCGGCGGACGGGUGAGUAACACGUGGAUAACCUACCUAUAAGACUGGGAUAACUUCGGGAAACCGGAGCUAAUACCGGAUAAUAUAUUGAACCGCAUGGUUCAAUAGUGAAAGACGGUUUUGCUGUCACUUAUAGAUGGAUCCGCGCCGCAUUAGCUAGUUGGUAAGGUAACGGCUUACCAAGGCGACGAUGCGUAACCGACCUGAGAGGGUGAUCGGCCACACUGGAACUGAGACACGGUCCAGACUCCUACGGGAGGCAGCAGUAGGGAAUCUUCCGCAAUGGGCGAAAGCCUGACGGAGCAACGCCGCGUGAGUGAUGAAGGUCUUCGGAUCGUAAAACUCUGUUAUUAGGGAAGAACAAAUGUGUAAGUAACUAUGCACGUCUUGACGGUACCUAAUCAGAAAGCCACGGCUAACUACGUG
This 497-nucleotide ribosomal RNA is filed under the name uncultured bacterium. Its description in RNAcentral is "partial 16S ribosomal RNA". It matches the Rfam family "Bacterial small subunit ribosomal RNA", at positions 28 to 507 of the family's 1533-position model. The record is from RNAcentral.